GAUGAACGCUGGCGGCGUGCCUAAUACAUGCAAGUCGAGCGAACAGACGAGGAGCUUGCUCCUCUGACGUUAGCGGCGGACGGGUGAGUAACACGUGGAUAACCUACCUAUAAGACUGGGAUAACUUCGGGAAACCGGAUCUAAUACCGGAUAAUAUAUUGAACCGCAUGGUUCAAUAGUGAAAGACGGUUUUGCUGUCACUUAUAGAUGGAUCCGCGCCGCAUUAGCUAGUUGGUAAGGUAACGGCUUACCAAGGCGACGAUGCGUAGCCGACCUGAGAGGGUGAUCGGCCACACUGGAACUGAGACACGGUCCAGACUCCUACGGGAGGCAGCAGUAGGGAAUCUUCCGCAAUGGGCGAAAGCCUGACGGAGCAACGCCGCGUGAGUGAUGAAGGUCUUCGGAUCGUAAAACUCUGUUAUUAGGGAAGAACAAAUGUGUAAGUAACUCUGCACGUCUUGACGUUACCUAAUCAGAAAGCCACGGCUAACUACGUG
RNAcentral lists this ribosomal RNA (497 nucleotides) under uncultured bacterium. RNAcentral's name for it is "partial 16S ribosomal RNA". It matches the Rfam family "Bacterial small subunit ribosomal RNA", at positions 28 to 507 of the family's 1533-position model. The record is from RNAcentral.